RNAcentral lists this ribosomal RNA (659 nucleotides) under bacterium PE03-55G24. RNAcentral describes it as "bacterial SSU rRNA". It matches the Rfam family "Bacterial small subunit ribosomal RNA", at positions 212 to 881 of the family's 1533-position model. The record is from RNAcentral.
UUUGCGGUGUGGGAUGGGCCCGCGGCCUAUCAGCUUGUUGGUGAGGUUACGGCUCACCAAGGCGACGACGGGUAGCCGGCCUGAGAGGGUGUCCGGCCACACUGGGACUGAGAUACGGCCCAGACUCCUACGGGAGGCAGCAGUGGGGAAUAUUGCACAAUGGGCGCAAGCCUGAUGCAGCGACGCCGCGUGGGGGAUGACGGCCUUCGGGUUGUAAACCUCUUUCAGUACAGACGAAGCGCAAGUGACGGUAUGUACAGAAGAAGCACCGGCCAACUACGUGCCAGCAGCCGCGGUAAUACGUAGGGUGCGAGCGUUGUCCGGAAUUACUGGGCGUAAAGAGCUCGUAGGUGGUUUGUCGCGUUGUUCGUGAAAACCAGAGGCUUAACCUCUGGCGUGCGGGCGAUACGGGCAGACUGGAGUACUGCAGGGGAGACUGGAAUUCCUGGUGUAGCGGUGGAAUGCGCAGAUAUCAGGAGGAACACCGGUGGCGAAGGCGGGUCUCUGGGCAGUAACUGACGCUGAGGAGCGAAAGCGUGGGGAGCGAACAGGAUUAGAUACCCUGGUAGUCCACGCCGUAAACGGUGGGUACUAGGUGUGGGUUUCCUUCCUUGGGAUCCGUGCCGUAGCUAACGCAUUAAGUACCCCGCCUGGGGAGU